CACAGUACUAGAGCACUAGAAGUUUUGCUUUGUACCUGCCAAGUGUUGAAGCACCACAUUGUGGGCAGGGUGACAGACUGCUCUGAGAGCAUGCCAGAUCGGGAAAGAAAGAGGCAGCUGCCUGGAUAUAACAAAUGAAGUGUGCCACAGAAAGAAGGUAGGAGACCUUGGAAGCUUUAUUGGUAUCACAGGACAUGGCAGUAGCAAGGACUUGCUAAGAAAUUUCUAGCUCAAAAACCAUAAAAGCUCAAGAUCCCAGAAGGUCAGCUCUGAAUCCAGA
This 280-nucleotide long non-coding RNA is filed under the name Manacus vitellinus (golden-collared manakin). RNAcentral describes it as "lncRNA (ENSMVIG00005016067.1)". Lineage: Eukaryota; Metazoa; Chordata; Aves; Passeriformes; Pipridae. The record is from RNAcentral.